CUAGCAAGUCGAACGGAGUAGAAAUACGUUAGUAGGCGGACGGGUGAGUAACGCGUGAGAAUCUGCCUUCAGACGAGACACAGUUGAAACGACUGCUAAGCCCCGAUGAACCGAAAGGGAAAAUAUUUAUAGCCUGAAGAUGAGCUCGCGUCCGAUUAGCUAGUUGGCGGGGUAAAAGCCCACCAAGGCGACGAUCGGUAGCUGGUCUGAGAGGACGAUCAGCCACACUGGGACUGAGACACGGGCCCAGACUCCUACGGGAGGCAGCAGUGGGGAAUUUUCCGCAAUGGGCGAAAGCCUGACGGAGCAAGACCGCGUGGGGAAGAAGGCUCUUGGGUUGUAAACCCCUUUUCUCUGGGAAGAAAGUUGUGAAAGCAACCUGACGGUACCAGAGGAAUCAGCAUCGGCUAACUCCGUGCCAGCAGCCGCGGUAAGACGGAGGAUGCAAGCGUUAUCCGGAAUGAUUGGGCGUAAAGCGUCCGCAGGUGGCAGUUCAAGUCUGCUGUCAAAGGACCGGGGCUUAACUUCGGAAAGGCAGUGGAAACUGAACAG
This 552-nucleotide ribosomal RNA is filed under the name uncultured Microcoleus sp. Its description in RNAcentral is "bacterial SSU rRNA". It matches the Rfam family "Bacterial small subunit ribosomal RNA", at positions 54 to 640 of the family's 1533-position model. Lineage: Bacteria; Bacillati; Cyanobacteriota; Cyanophyceae; Oscillatoriales; Microcoleaceae. The record is from RNAcentral.